AGCGAACGCUGGCGGCAGGCUUAACACAUGCAAGUCGAGCGGGCAUCCUUGUGGUGUCAGCGGCAGACGGGUGAGUAACGCGUGGGAACGUGCCCUUCGGUUCGGAAUAACUCAGGGAAACUUGAGCUAAUACCGGAUACGCCCUUUUGGGGAAAGGUUUACUGCCGAAGGAGCGGCCCGCGUCUGAUUAGCUGGUUGGUGAGGUUACGGCUCACCAAGGCGACGAGCAGUAGCUGGUCUGAGAGGAUGAUCAGCCACACUGGGACUGAGACACGGCUCAGACUCCUCAGGGAGGCAGCAGUGGGGAAUAUUGGACAAUGGGGGCAACCCUGAUCCAGCCAUGCCGCGUGAGUGAUGACGGCCUUAGGGUUGUAAAGCUCUUUUCUCCGGGACGAUAAUGACGGUACCGGAGGAAUAAGCCCCGGCUAACUUCGUGCCAGCAGCCGCGGUAA
This 452-nucleotide ribosomal RNA is filed under the name uncultured bacterium. Its description in RNAcentral is "partial 16S ribosomal RNA". It matches the Rfam family "Bacterial small subunit ribosomal RNA", at positions 29 to 523 of the family's 1533-position model. The record is from RNAcentral.